This 490-nucleotide ribosomal RNA is filed under the name uncultured bacterium. RNAcentral describes it as "partial 16S ribosomal RNA". It matches the Rfam family "Bacterial small subunit ribosomal RNA", at positions 30 to 507 of the family's 1533-position model. The record is from RNAcentral.
AUUGAACGCUGGCGGCAGGCCUAACACAUGCAAGUCGAACGGUAACAGGAAGAAGCUUGCUUCUUUGCUGACGAGUGGCGGACGGGUGAGUAAUGUCUGGGAAACUGUCUGAUGGAGGGGGAUAACUACUGGAAACGGUAGCUCAUAUCGCAUAACGUCGCUAGACCAAAAAGGGGGACCUUCUCGCCUCUUGCCAUCGGAUGUGCCCAGAUGGGAUUAGCUAGUAGGUGGGGUAACGGCUCACCUAGGCGACGAUCCCUAGCUGGUCUGAGAGGAUGACCAGCCACACUGGAACUGAGACACGGUCCAGACUCCUACGGGAGGCAGCAGUGGGGAAUAUUGCACAAUGGGCGCAAGCCUGAUGCAGCCAUGCCGCGUGUAUGAAGAAGGCCUUCGGGUUGUAAAGUACUUUCAGCGGGGAGGAAGGGAGUAAAGUUAAUACCUUUGCUCAUUGACGUUACCCGCAGAAGAAGCACCGGCUAACUCCGUG